Molecule: long non-coding RNA, 5326 nt
Organism: Melospiza melodia melodia
Lineage: Eukaryota; Metazoa; Chordata; Aves; Passeriformes; Passerellidae
Exons: 3
Source: RefSeq, a predicted model, not a curated record
CAAUUGUCUGUUUUAAUUUCAGGCUCAGGAGACAUGGACAGUAUUUCCAAAAACUCUCCCAGUAAUAUGAGCAUGAGCAACCAGCCUGGCACUCCCAGGGAUGACAGUGAGAUGGGUGGAAACUUCCUCAACCCUUUUCAGAGCGAGAGUUACUCCCCUAGCAUGACAAUGAGCGUGUGACCCGUUCACAAGUGUCGCCGUGAAGACCACAGUGAGUUGGCCCUCCCCAGAGAGCUACUGCAGAAGAAAAUUAUUCGUCCCAGUGUACAGUUUAACUAAAGGAUCUCAGACACAAUCAGACCCACCUGUUUGUUUGUUUUUCUCCUACCAUCUCCCCUGUUUUGUCAAGACAGUGGGUCCCAAACACGCUUGAGACAACUGUCAGGAGUGGCAUGAGAGAAGUGCCCGAGGUGGAGCUGCCAGCGCCUGUCUGUGUGUGUACAUGUGUGGGCCAGCGUGGGGUGUGUGUGUGUGACAUCCAAACACACACACACACACAGACCCCAGGACGCUGUCCAAUAGGAUCACAUGACAUCUUACGUAGAAAUCAGAAGUAGGGACUUUUAUUCCAUUUCUUUUUUUUUUUCACGUUUGCAUUUUAAUUAUUAAAAUUUGCUUUCCCUCUCCCAUCCUGAACUGUUUUACGUUGCAUAUAUCACUGCUUUGUAAGUUAUUUUUUAAGUUGAACUCAAAGGAUAAAUUCUUUUGAUUUUGUUAGUCUGCCAUUAUGGACAGGAAUAAAAUUGCUUAUACGAGCUUUCAUUACCUUGUGUUUGAUACCAGCUACCCUGUGAAUCACAAAUUGUACUGUCUCAAGAAAUAGAAGAAAGCUCAUCCUAAUUUUUGGAGAAAUUGAAUAACUUCCACCUAGUUUGGGGAUUUCUUUUGAUACUUUGCCUUUAAGAGAAAAAAAGCACUGAAGGUUAUUUUUCUUCUUUAAUUGAAGCCUAAUAUCUGCAAUAUCUAUUUUAAAUGGAAGCCUGAAUUUGAUACAAGCUUCUCAGUUUAUAUAGAGUACUAUAAGGUUACUGUAAGUGAGCUCCAAUUGCUAUAGAAUCUAGCAAUAAAGUGUCAGGGCUUCUCCUGCCCUUGGAUUUGAGUUUUCUAUUUAGCAUGGUCUUCUGUAGGGGUGGUAGUUAGUGGAAAUACAGUAGAGUCCUUAUCACCAAAACAUUUUCCAGCAACCUGCAAUUAUGUUUCCCAUUUUCAGUGAUUCUCAAACAUAUAUGAGCAAUCUGUGAUCCUGAUUACAAACGGUAUUUCCCAAGCCCAUUUAGAAAAUCAGGUCACCCUGCUGCUUGGGUGUGUGUUUUCUGCCAUAUCUGCCAGAAUUAAUUCCCACAAAACUUUCCAGUCAUCAGCCUUUUUUUUUUCUUUGAGCCAAAAUGCCACAGUAAACUUUUUAUGACUACUAGCCUUGUUGUGAGGGUGUUACCUUUUGCCAUGAAUAGAAAGGAGCAAAGGUCUGGAUCCUUUUAGAGGGGGAACAUACAGUUAGGUAUGAAAGCUGGGGCCAGAAUGCAGAAAAAGGCCUCAAGGAAAUGCUUCUGGAAGCAUUCCCAUUUCUCUUGAGGCAGAGCUCUGAAACCAAGAUUGUGGUACUUUUACUUAGUUCCUGAUGAUUUUCAGCUCCCCCAGGAAAACAAAGGUUUUCGGUUUGUAGUGAUACAAAAGCUGAUGAUCAGCAAUGCAGGCACAAAGUGGCUCGGCAGAAAUUUGUGCCACAGACAAACAGCAAAUUCCUCUCUUUGGACUUUAAUCCAAGGAGCCACUUGCAGAGCAGGAGCAGUUCUGGGAUGUGGUAUAUCCAUGUGCAAGGGGAUUUUCCUCAUGAGCUUGUGAUAAAGGAAUAUCACCCAUAUGUGAUGGGCUUGUGAUGGUAGCUGGAUGUGUGAGGAAUUCUACAAUCUCCUAACUAAUUUUUAUUUCCAUAUAUUAUACACAUAUGACAUAUGGAAAUAAAAAGGUUUAACAUGUUACUGUCCCGUUAGGCUUACUCAAAGAUGAAAGUCUCAGAGGAUCAAAAUUACAUUGAAGUAUCAAAGAUUUUGUUAGCGUUACUUUUUAGUAAGAACUGCUUGAUUAGAUGUAAACAUGACCUGGCUAGUCCUUAUAUGGUUUUGUAGGCUGUAUUCUUAUUGAUUAUGAAGGUCGCAUUCAUUUGCUUCUCUUUGGAAAGCACUUUGCUGCUGUCUCCAAAGAUGCUGGAAGACCCUGCUAUUGGCUCGAAUCACAAGCACAAAAUCAAGUGUAAUUUCUUCAGACCCUUUGCUGUUGUCACUAACACCACUGGUGUGUCCCCGUUGCACCCAGAGCCCAGGUGCCCCUGCAGCCUUGGUUGGCCACCUGUAUUAUCUGUGGUCGCCCUCCAGGCACCCAAGGGCUCCUUCUGGCCCAGUCUGUCCGACGGUGUCGCUGCUGCUGGGCUAAGGGAGAUGGGAGCAGUGCAUCGAGUGCCAAAGGCCAUUCCCAGGGCAGUGAGCUGUUGGGCACCUGGGAAGGAUGAAGUCUGACCUUUAAACCUGUGCGUGGAACAGCUGGCACAGAUUGAUAUCAAUAUUAAAGCAUGUUAUCCUCACUUUGAUACAGGAGCACAACGUCCUUUCAGCACACGAUGGAUUCGCUGUGUCCUGCAUUUCUCACUCCCACGCAGCCCCACGGGCAGCAGCUGGUGCCACUAAUGCUUUGUCCAGGGCUUUACCAGGCUCCAGGAGAGGCCAGGUUCUGCAGCUGAACCAUUAGAAAACAAUCCUUUGUGCUAAUUACUCAAAUUCUAAAUUACACCUUUGGAUCAUUUCUUCCUUAAUAUGCAUAGGGCUUUUUGCUUGUCCAUUUCUCUUUCCUUUGCUUACAAAUCCUUGUAGGAUUUUCAUGGUACCUGGAGUAUCAAUAUGGGAGGAAAGACUAUUCCCAAGCACUCAGUGUUUGCUCCCUCUUCUUAAAUUUUUUAUGCUCCAGAUACGAGGAGCAAUGUCACUGCUGUUUGGUUCUGUCCUUUUGCAACAGCACUGUUGAUAAUGUCACAACUUGUCCAGCUCUGCUAGGAAUUUUAUUUUAAAUGGUGCAGGGUAGAUCUUCUCACACUGGCUUUUUAGAUGGAUCUUGCUCUUCAGUAUAGAAGUAAAUAGAAGGUGAUUCUGUAAAUGGGUAUUUCAGGCAGAGUUAUAGGAAGCCUUCUUAAAACCAGAAGUGAUUACAUCUUUGAGUAGCAGAAACGGAGAGUGAGGGAUCUGUAUGCUGUGAGAACUCUUGCAAAUAUUCCAGCUUUGUAGAAAUCACCUGAAACUGCAUUCACCUGUGAACUUCACAGUGAAACCAGGGUCUUACCUGCUGCUCCAGCCUAUGGAAAGGAGUGAUAGAUGCAGAUGUAUUUCCAUGUCACCAGGAUUUUAUUGCCGUGUCUAAGAGCCGGGUUUGAGGCAAGGAAGGAGUUUAGCUGUCUGAAUCACAGGUGAAGCAUGUGGCCUGGUGUGCAUUAACAAAGUCCCUGGAUAUUUGCAUGCAGGGAUUACAUUAUUUUCUUAACUACCUGAGAAUGAGGAAAAACUGCAGUUUGGAACUUGCACUUCCAACCCCCAGGAAUUCCAUUUUUUAUUUGGAAGUCCUCUGGUUGCAGAGCCGUAGCCACCCAAUAUGUCACAUAUUCAGAGACAGAAACAACUUCCAGGCUUUCAGCCUCUUCCUCAGAGUGGAGGAUUAAAUGUUCCAUGUCCCAGGACAUCCAGCUGUUCCUUUCCCUUCCAACAGGAAUACCCAAUGAGAAAUACAUAGGCUAAUCAUUUAUUUUAAAUAAUUCCACUUGGGAAGAAGUGGAAUAGAACCUUGCUUCUUUAAGGAUGCAUCAAAGGACAGCUUCUUGACCUGCCUAAAACCAGUUGAAUUUUCCUCUGUUCUGUGGCAAUACCGCAUGUGCAAAUGAUGUGGAAUUAGAUUUAAUGAGGGACCAGCUGCUACAAUAUUUAGUGUUGAUCACUUUAUUCAAAAAUGACUUUUCAGCUGAUACAUGUCACACAGGGUCCUAUUUCUGUAUCAGUUGUUUAUUAAGUGCUCUCCCCUGUCCCCAGUCAGCUCUCAUCCACUGCUCUUGCCAUGGCUAAGUAUGGACUGGAUUCUUCAGUGUUUCACCCUACACAUUUGCAUUUCAAGAAUGUAAAAUAUACCUUAGUGAUGUAAAACGUACAGGUAAAUUUAUUUUUCUUUAAUUCACCAUAAGUGGUGAUAGAACUGUGGGUGCUGGCACAGACACACUUGGGUUUGAUCAGGCCUUAAGGAUGGGAAUACUGACAAAGCACAUCUUUCAAAUGAACCCCUAUAAACUGCUUCAACACUGGUAUCUCACAGUGAGGAUCCAGUUCAUGAUUUAGUGAUUCAAAAUAAUUCUAGAAAUUCAGAAAUAAAUUAGUUAGGUUUAAAUGUUGCUGGUUGCAGCUCUUUCUACUUUUCAGAUAGUGGCACAGUUCUGUAGACUGCUGCUUGUGCCAGUUCUGCUGAAAUGUUGAUGAAACCAUUCACAUAAGGUCAUUUUUUGGGUAGGAUUUCACCCUAGUCUGGGUCAAAUAUAUAACUUACCUGUGGUGUAACAUUAUUUGGCAGAUGUAAAAACCGAGUACAUAGAGAAAAAUACAGAGGGUCUGUUGAAAUUACCAAAAUGACGUUUCAACCUGAAAAAGGAGAAAAGACAGUUUAAAAUACUGCUUUGAGUGCACUCCUGUAUGGUGUCUAUAUAUUGGAAACAAAUUACAGUACCAAAUCUAGAAAAAAUAAAUGUCUCAUCUACUCAGCACAUGAAAAUUCUGAUCCUGCCAACAGCUUCACCUUGAUUUCAAAUUGAGCCUGCUCAUAGUUAAUUUUAACCAGAUCUAAGAACAGGUAGUAUCCUUCAGGAAAUUAAAAAAGUAGGACUGUAGUAAUGUAAACCCAUGCUUAAACAUGGACAGUCUAGAGCUCCAAUUAAGUCUUUGCUAAGCAGACAUUAUUUCACAGAUUUUACUAGUGCAGGAGCCUGUUUAUGUAUCAAUAGUACUGACAUGCGGAGCAGAUUUGGCUUUCUUCUGUUUCUUACUUUAUUAGAGCUUUGUUCACUAUUCCAUGAACUAUUUCUGUGAAUUUGUUCUUUCAUCUUGUUUUCAGUUCUGCAGCCAUAGUUUCCCUCCACACAGCCAACAGCUUUGCAGGUUUAGUCCAAACUUCUGUUUGGUUGCUGUUCAUUUAAGCUUGAAAUGUGUAAGAAAGCCUCUCAUGUAAUAGGAAAACUUGCCAUAAAAAUGUAUAAAGGUUUUCUUGGGUACAUGUUUUCGAAUUUAAUAAAUGCAGUUUUCAGUCAUAA